This 620-nucleotide ribosomal RNA is filed under the name uncultured bacterium. RNAcentral describes it as "bacterial SSU rRNA". It matches the Rfam family "Bacterial small subunit ribosomal RNA", at positions 62 to 689 of the family's 1533-position model. The record is from RNAcentral.
UCGAACGAUUCUUAGGUGGCUUGCCAUCUAAGAAGAGUGGCGAAUGGGUGAGUAACACGUGAGUAAUCUGCCCUCGAGUGAGGAAUAACUUCGCGAAAGCGGAGCUAAUACCGCAUAAUAUUCUGGAGAAUAAUCUUUCAGAAUUAAAGCCUUCGGGCGCUUGAGGAUGAGCUUGCGUCCUAUUAGCUUGUUGGUAGGGUAAUGGCCUACCAAGGCAAUGAUGGGUAGCCGGCCUGAGAGGGUGUACGGCCACACUGGGACUGCGACACGGCCCUGACUCCUACGGGAGGCAGCAGUGGAGAAUUUUGCGCAAUGGGCGAAAGCCUGACGCAGCGACGUCGCGUGGAGGAUGAAGGCCUUCGGGUUGUAAACCCCUGUCAGAGGAGAAGAAAGCCCUUCGGGGUUUGACGGUAUCCUCAGAGGAAGCCCCGGCUAACUACGUGCCAGCAGCCGCGGUAAAACGUAGGGGGCGAACGUUGCUCGAAUUACUGGGCGUAAGGGUGCGUAGGUGGCUGAAAAGUCAAAAUGAAUCCCGAGGCUUAACCUCGGAACUGUUUCCGAAACUACUUACCUGGAGGAUAGUGAAGGAAAACCGAAUUCCCGGUGGACCGGUGAAAUGC